RNAcentral lists this ribosomal RNA (232 nucleotides) under uncultured bacterium. RNAcentral's name for it is "partial 16S ribosomal RNA". It matches the Rfam family "Bacterial small subunit ribosomal RNA", at positions 99 to 334 of the family's 1533-position model. The record is from RNAcentral.
CGGACGGGUGAGUAAUGUCUGGGAAACUGCCCGAUGGAGGGGGAUAACUACUGGAAACGGUAGCUAAUACCGCAUAACGUCGCAAGACCAAAGAGGGGGACCUUCGGGCCUCUUGCCAUCGGAUGUGCCCAGAUGGGAUUAGCUAGUAGGUGGGGUAACGGCUUACCUAGGCGACGAUCCCUAGCUGGUCUGAGAGGAUGAUCAGCCACACUGGGACUGAGACACGGCCCAG